This 304-nucleotide ribosomal RNA is filed under the name Stutzerimonas stutzeri. RNAcentral describes it as "bacterial SSU rRNA". It matches the Rfam family "Bacterial small subunit ribosomal RNA", at positions 232 to 528 of the family's 1533-position model. The record is from RNAcentral. Lineage: Bacteria; Pseudomonadati; Pseudomonadota; Gammaproteobacteria; Pseudomonadales; Pseudomonadaceae.
UAGGUCGGAUUAGCUAGUUGGUGAGGUAAAGGCUCACCAAGGCGACGAUCCGUAACUGGUCUGAGAGGAUGAUCAGUCACACUGGAACUGAGACACGGUCCAGACUCCUACGGGAGGCAGCAGUGGGGAAUAUUGGACAAUGGGCGAAAGCCUGAUCCAGCCAUGCCGCGUGUGUGAAGAAGGUCUUCGGAUUGUAAAGCACUUUAAGUUGGGAGGAAGGGCAGUAAGUUAAUACCUUGCUGUUUUGACGUUACCAACAGAAUAAGCACCGGCUAACUUCGUGCCAGCAGCCGCGGUAAUACGA